Ctenopharyngodon idella (grass carp) is the source of this 10192-nucleotide long non-coding RNA. RefSeq lists it as uncharacterized. The transcript is spliced from 4 exons. The record is from RefSeq and is a predicted model, not a curated record. NCBI's taxonomy places the organism in Eukaryota, Metazoa, Chordata, Actinopteri, Cypriniformes, Xenocyprididae.
AUGUUCCUCCUGUGAAUUUCCUCUUUAUUCGAUAAGAUCAUUGGCUCUUUCUGAACAAAUAACCAGACGGAUUGGAGUACCGCUGGAGGUUGACCAGGUGAUUCUGGACAUACGGCAAGAGCGAAGAAAGCUUUUCAUUCAAACACACGUCCAGUAUGAAUGAAGAUGAAAUGGAGAACACAUGAUCUACGAGUGAAACUCUGCAAACACGUGCUGAGGAGAGAAUGGCAGUAAGUACAGUAAAACACUGUUCGCUGAAGGACUUUCCAAACACCAACACCUGCUUCUACUUACAGGACACACCAGAAUCCACUUACCAAAGCCAAUAAAUGCUCGAAUGCUGCAGAAAUACAGGAAUCAGCAUUCCACACCGAGGGAACGGCUUCCCACUUUCCUUUAAGAGCAAUUACAGAACGGCACGUCAGAAGACGCUUGAAACAAGCCAGUGAAGCUCAACAGACCCAUGAUUAGAUAAAACCAGGUCCUGUUUAUUAUGAAGGAAUCAUACAGAGCAAAAAAUGAUGUUCUUCUUCAGUAUUUUUGUCUUGUUUUCCAGUACAAAUAUCUGAACAUUCUUAAAUCAAGAUACAGACGACAGAAAUUUGCGUAUCAAAUGUGAUAUAGCAGGCUUUAUGGGCUAGAGUCGGUUUGGGGUCAUAAGGGCUGCUGUAAACAUGUUAUAAAAAGAUGAUUCCUCCAAAGAUCUGAGAGUUUGCCUUCAGGCACUAAACGGCGGCUUUUAAAAGGGCGUUUUUUUGGUUUUAAGAGGCCGUAUGUUGUGUAAAUAGAGAGCAGGCCGAGCAUCGCUGGCAUUGGGUUAAUCUGAUGGGGAUUAGGAGCCCCAGUCCUGAGGGAGGCCCGGCUACUCUCGGCUUCGAGGGCCAGCUGUCACAGAGCCGCUCCGGGACGCGUCUGAUUGAAGCCUGUGGGCCCCGAACACAGCGGGACCUGCUGCGCUUCAUGAUGCACAGAUGAGGGCAGGGCUGUUACAGUUAACACAGACUAAAACCAUACAAAUGAGCAUUUCUGUUACUAGAAAUAAAGAAUAAUAAUAAAGAAUAAUGAAAAUAACAACAAAAAUAUAAUAGAAUAAUAUUAAAUAAUAAUAAUAAACAUUAACUGAAACAGCUGUUUUCUAUGUGAAUAUAUAGUAAAGUGUAAUUUAUUUCUGUGAUCAAAUCUGAAUUUUCAGCAUCAUUACUCCAGUCUUCAGAUGAUCCUUCAGAAAUCAUUCUAAUAUGAUGAUCUGAUGAUCAAGAAACAUUUAUGAUUAUUAUAGUGUUGAAAACAGUUCAUAUUUUAAGUUGAAAAGAACAGCAUUUAUUUGACCAUUAUAAAUGUCACUUUGGAUCAGUUUAAUGUGUCUUUGCUGAAUAAAAGUAUUAAUUUCUUUUAAAAAUUAAUAAUAGAGAUGCACUAUUACUUUUAAGUUUGUUUUGUUUUGCUUUGCUCUUGGUUUGAAUAGACCUUUUGUCUGCUUCUUCAUUUGAUGUGACCUUUAUUUUCCCAGCAGUCCCAGCUGAUGCUCUUCAGCUCCGUCUCAGACACAUCAGACUGUCUCUGCGCCUCAGAUGUGUGCAGAUAUUGUGAAGAUUCAGCACAUCUGUAGCUCAUUUUCUGUCAGUUUGAUGCGAUCAGGACUACAGCGUGAACGGUUCUGCUGUGGUGUGCAAAAUACGUCCAAACAAGCACAUAAAUUAUGUGGAUUGUUGAGUGGAGGCUUAUUAAGUCAUAGACGAGAUUAAAUCAAGAACCGGUACAGCGGCUGAUCAAGUUAAAGAUGAGAAGUGAAGCUCCAGGUUUGCUCUCUCUCUCUGUGUGUGUGUGUGUGUGUGUGUGUGAGACAGUCUUUACAGUCUGUUACACAGUCUGUAUGUUUACAGCAUCAAAACAUUUAUUUCUGGGUGGUUGCUAGAAGGUUGUUAGGGUAUUGCUAUGUGUUUGCUAGGAUAUUCUGAGUGGUUGCUAGGGUGUUGCUAGGGUAUUCUGGGUGUUUGCUAGGCUGUUAAACAGUCUGAAUGUUUACAGCAUCAAACCAUUCAUUUCUGGGUGGUUACUAGGAGGUUGUUAGGGUGUUGCUAUGGUAUUCUGAGUAGUUGCUAGGGUGUUACUAGGGUAUUCUGGGUUUUUGCUAGGGUGUUAAAUAGUCUGGAUGUUUACAGCAUCAAUACAUUCAUUUCUGGGUACUAGGCAGUUGCUAGGGUGUUGCUACAGUAUUCUGGGUGUUUGCUAGGGUGUUAAACAAUCUGUAUGUUUACAGCAUCAGAACAUUCAUUUCUGGGUGGUUACUAGAAGGAUGUUAGGGUGUUGCUAUGUGGUUUCUAGGGGGUUGCUAGGGUAUUCUGGGUGUUUGGCGGGGUGUUAAACAGUCUGGAUGCUUACAGCAUUAAAUAUUUACACUGAGAACUAACCAGCUACAGUGCUAAAGCAAAUAGCAACUAGAUAAAAAAAAAAAAAAAAAAAAAAGCCACAAAGUUUGAAAUAGUUUUUGGUUUGAAGUAACUUUAAAAGCUCAAAGUUUGAAGGCCAUACAGUCUCUCAGACAGAUAGAUCAAUUGCUGUGUGGUUGUUGGGGUAUUCUGGGUAGGUUGCUAGGAGGUUGUUAGGGUGUUGCUAUGUGGUUGCUAGGGUAUUCUGAGUGGCUGCUAGGGCUGUUAUUACCUAACCAUGUAACAUUGAACACUACACAUUUUUUAAUCAAGACAGGAAAUGCACUUGUCAUGUGUUUCUUGUCCUGAUUUAAUGUUAGUGUCUUCUGAGCAUUAUUGGGGUUGGAGGACCACCUUUGUCUCUCUCUCUCUCUCUCUCUCUCUCUCUCUCUCUCUCUCUCUCUCUCUCUCUCUCUCUCUCUCUCUCUCUCUCUCUCUCUCUCUCUGUCUGUCUCUGCUCCAGUGCUCUUUGACCUGGAAGUGAGACGUGCUGUCGACAGUUUGCAGGACGGACAGAUGCCAUCCUUUCAUCUUGUGGGAAAGAAUCGUACAGCUUUCUGAAAGUUCUUCAUGAUCCUCUCUUGGUCUUCUGUUCAGCCGGAGCCAGCUUGACUGGAUUCUGUAAAUAAGAUUAUACAUCAUCAAUUACAACAGCAAUUAAUCAUUCUUCUUUUUUUUUUUUUAAAGAAAUCUCAUCAUUUUGUUGCAAAGGCAUUUUAACUUGCUUUUCGGCGUUUUGGUUACUAGUGUGUUGCUAUGUGGUUGCUAGAAUGUUCUGGUAUUUGCAAAGGUGUUUUGACUGGUUGCUAGGGUGUUGGUAUGUAGUUGCUAGGGUGUUUUGGUAGUUGUAAAGCUUUUCUGAUUGGUUACUAGGGUGUUGCUAUGUGGCUGAUAGGGUGUUCUGGUUGCAAAGGUGUUUUGACGGGUUGCUAGGGUUUUCUGGUGGUUGCAAAGAUGUUCUGACUGGUUGCUAAGGUGUUGCUAUGUGGUUGCUAGAAUGUUAAGGUGGUUGCAAAGAUGUUUUGACUGGUUUCUAGGAUGUUGCUAUGUGGUUUAAAGGGUGUUCUGGUGGUUGUAAAUGUGUUGCCUGGUUGCUAGGGUGUUGCUAUGUGCUGUGUGUUCUGCUGGUUAAAGGUAUUUUGAUUGAAUCAUUCACGUCUGGAGCACAAACGCCUAACUUAAAAGGGUAGUGUUUGUCUAGUCUAUAGAGUGGAGGUCAGGCCUCUGUUUCUCUUUCCUUCUUCUUCCUUCUCCUGGUUAGUUCAGGAUUAGCGACUGUUUUCCAUUUGCUGCUGUAGAUCAGAUAUCCACAGGUCCACAUCACCCGAGUCCAUAUAAGGCCAGAGAGCAGAACACAGGAGGACACAUUUGACUGCUUAUCCACUGCUGUAUUUACAUAUUGUGUGUGUGUGUGUGUGUGUGUGUGUGUGUGCGUGCUUCCCAGAUGAGCAUUUUGUUGCUCAGAGGUUGCUCCUUUAUUGCUCAGGACUUCUUAUGUUACAUUUCUUUAUUUCUCAUAAAAUUCCUCAUAAAAAAUAAAACAGGCCCAAAUGAGUCACUGGUCAUCAUCCUUUAAGAAUAUAGAGCUAUCAAAUGAAUGUGGAGAUAAAGGUUUGAUUUCAUACUGAUAGAGGAGACACACGUGAGAUUUCUGAGGUCUUUUCCCUCAGAAGAAACAUCUGAAACUCUGUUUCUCCAUUCAGUCUCAUUGCUGUCUAGGACAAACAACUGAAAAGAAGUCUCAUUUGUGAUUUUUAAAAGCCGUAUCUGAACACACAGGAAAGUGACUCAAUAACACACUUCAUUAUCCACACUAGAGUUUAAAUAAGCGUCUAGUGUACUAGUUUGCAGUCUAGACUCCUGUAUGCUGUACGACAUGAUGAAUCGAGGCAAUAAUCUCGCCGUAUGCGUCCACUUCCAUUCCUGCAGUGCUUUUACAUCAGUUCUCUCCCCACGGUCACAUAUACAUUUGAUUGGUCAUGAAGUUGUUGACCUACAGUUUUAAGGUUAAUCAGUCUGGAAGAGGUGUCGUGUUUCUUUUCUUUCCUUCCUCAAAGAAAAUAAAUAAUAAAUAAACCUUCAUAAAUCCUCGCGUCGCCUUGUGUAAACAUUUAUUCUAGUGGAACAGGGCGCUCAUUCAACACGCGUUCACUGCUCUCGCUGACCUGGACGUGACGCUCAACUCAUAUAGACCCCAUACAGAAGACAGUUGGGUUAUUAUUUUCCAGCAAGGUGGUUGAUACUUAUAUUUUAACAGUGAAACAGAGACUGGGAAAACCAGAAAGAUAAAGCCAACUGUUGCAUUCUACAUUCAGUUCCAAACUUUAGUUUGUUGAAAAAUUCUUAUGCAUUUUAUGCAAAGUUAAGUACAUCUACCCAUAUACUAACAAUCAGUGAGUUUUUGUUUGUUUGUUUGUUUUUUAUUUUGUUUUGUUUGUUCUGGUGGUUGCAAAAGUGUUUUGACUGGUUGCUAGGGUGUUGCUAUGUGGCUGCAAAGGUAUUUUGACUGGUUGCUAAAGUGUUUCUGUGUUGUUGCUAGGGUGUUCUGGUGGUUGUAAUGGUGUUUUGACUGGUUGCUAGGGUGUUGCUAUAUGGUUAUUAGGGUGUUCCGGUGGUUCCAAAGGUGUUCUGACUGGUUGCUAGGGUGUUGCUAUGUGGUUGCAAAUGUGUUUUGACUGGCUGCUAUGGUGUUGCUAUGUGGCUGCAAAGGUGUUUUGACUGGUUGCUAGGGUGUUGCUAUGUUGUUUUGACUGGUUGCUAGGGUGUUCUGGUGGUUGCAAAGGUGUUUUUACUGGUUUCUAGGGUCUUCUGAACAGAAAGAUUUUAUAUUCAAUUUAAGUUUGUUGAAAAAUUCUUAUGCAUGUUAUUUAUAUGCUAAAGUUAAGCACAACUUCCUUUAUUCUGAGUAUGUUUUUUGUGCUGGUUAAGACCCGGUUGUGUCUGAUUGUUUCAUUAGCGCCGGCUAAUUGACCCUCAGCAGUAACUAAAGAGUGGCUGUGUUUCCCAGAAGCGGUUCGUUUGUAGGGCUUUUAGCGUUUAAUUGUCGGCAGUCAAAGUCUCGGCGGACUCUAUUACAGUGAUGUAUGGAGUAAUUCUUCCAGGAGACGGAGGGCCGUUGGAACACACAUCCAUCAAGUCAUGUGGCCAUUAAAGCCUUCCCAGAAUGCCCUCAGUGAACACUGAAGGAAGAAAAUAUGAGAAACAGAGCACAGUACCAGUGAGAUCUCAUCAAUGUCUCAAAUGAUUCUGCAGUGACACUGAGUACAGACUGAAAGUCUGCAAUCAGAGAUUUCAAUACGAGUUCAAAUAUUUCAAAUGAUCUGAGCUGCUGCACAUUCAUUUUACUGGACAGUAACUAGUGACUGUUUUAAAUUUUAGGAGAAACAUCUGAAACAACUGAGAACUUUUGUGAGGUCUGAAAAAGCAAUAACGUUCAUCUGGGACUGUUUGCAUCAGAAUAAGUCUGUUAGUUGUGUUGAUAAGCGAGCAGUGAGUGUGAAAUGUCUUGAACACACUCCGUGAGCUGAGUAAAGUGUGUUUUGUGGGUUUAAUUGUUUGCUUGUUUGAUCUGUAAAGUCGGCAGAAUAGUGGGAGAAAUAACAGCAGCUGCAGAUUUUUGACUAAAACUUUUUCACUCUCGUUUUGCUUUUCUGUUCUCUAGAUUCAGCUCCUUCAAUGUACAGUAAGUCUGUGAGAUUUUGUGGCAUGUGAAUGAGGAACAACAUUCUUCACAUUUAGGGUUCAGAAUGUAAGUUGCUUUCAAAGGUAGAGCAUGCUCGGAAUGACGCUUUGUGACGCUUGUCUCUGCUGUAAAAUGUGUUUGUGUUGAGUUCAGAGAAAAUGUUCAACCUUUAACACUGAGAGAAUUUGUUUCUGAAAACAUAAAUCAAAGCUUCAGCAUGUCGAACAUCUUAAAACUGUGUUCGUUUGGUUUUCCUGAGGUGAAUCUUUCAUAAACGGGUCGAGUCUUUCUUCAGAUGAUGCGUGUGCCCCAGGGGUGACUGGGUAAUUACUCGUGACUCAUAAAUUACGCUGCAGAACUUGCAUUGAGAUCAUUCUGUUUUGGUUGCUGUCAUUUAAAUGCCAGGUACUCUUUUUGUGACGUGUUUAUACACAACAUUCAUCAUAGAUCUUCAGUAUUCAUAUACCAGUGUAAUUUUGAACUAUGUUGGAGUACAGCGUAAAGGCAUGAAUAUGGUAAUAAUUCAGCACCACGGUAACAUUGUAUUUACCAUCUAAUACCGUCACAGUAAUUUGUAAUCUCUGUUGAGUCUCGCUCUCUGAUUGAGCUGUUAAACGUCUCUGGAUUCUGCUGCCCUGUGGAGCGUGACCUUUGACCCCACCGGGCCCAGGGUUCACGUGGCUUUGAACCCACAGGCGAUCGGGUGAGGGGAAUCCUGGGAAUAAAAUAGAGGGUUAAAGGUUCAAGUGCUCUAGAAAACACUCUCUAAAGUGGCUCUUAAACAUCUGAGGUUAAAGCCCUCCAGUGUUUCACAUGAUAGUUAUGAAUUUUACUACAGUACUGUGCAGGGUUAUUAUUGUUAACUAAACCAUCAAAAAAACAUUAAAAAUGUUACAUGAAAUAAAAUAAAAUGUAUAACUAUAACUAAAACUUGAUAAACUAAAACUAAUAAAUAAAAAUUAGUAAAUAGUAUGUAGACAAAAUUAUUCAAACUUUACCUAAAAUGAAAGUGAAAACAAAACAAAAAUAAAAUCUAAAUAAUAUUAAAUCAAAUUCAAAAUACGAAUUAGAAUGAUUGAAUUUUGAAUCCAAGCAAGUCUUUUGGUCUGAACAGACUCUUCACUUCUGAGGUAACAGUCUUUUCCUGAUGUUUAUUAGCACGACCUUUAUAUAGUUAAUUUUAUAUGGAUAUGAAUAAUAUUUGAUUAAAAAAAAAAAAAAAAAAAACCUAGAUUCUUAUGUUUUCUAAAGAAAAUAUGCCUGCAUUCUAGGCUGUUCUGAUUUACUAGGGUGUUGCUAUGUGGUUCCUAGAGUAUUCUGAGAGGUUGCUUGGGUGUUCUGAGUUGUUGCCAGGUUGUUGCUAAGCAGUUUCUAGGGUCAUUGGUUGCUAGGGUGUUGCUAUGUGGUUCCUGGGAGGUUGCUUGGGUGUUCUGAGUUGUAGCCAGGAUGUUUCUAAGCAGUUUCUAGGGUCAUUGGUUGCUAGGGUGUUGCUAUGUGGUUCCUGGGAGGUUGCUUGGAUGUUCUGAGUUGUAGCCAGGAUGUUGCUAAGCGGUUUCUAGGGUCAUUGGUUGCUUGGGCAUUGCUAUGUGGUUCCUAGAGUGUUCUGGAAGGUUGCUUGGGUGUUCUGAGUCGUAGCUAGGAUGUUGCUAAGCAGUUUCUAGGUUCAUUGGUUGCUAGGGUGUUGCUAUGUGGUUCCUAGAGUAUUCUGGGAGGUUGCUUGGGUGUUCUGAGUUGUUGCCAGGUUGUUGCUUAGCACUUUUUAGUGUGUUUUGACUGGUUGCUAGGGCAUUUCUAUGCUGUUCCUAGAGUGUUCUGGGUGGUUGCUUAGGUGUUCUGAGCUGUAGCCAGGAUGUUGCUAAGCAGUUUCUAGGGUCAUUGGUUGCUAGAGUGUUGCUAUCCUGUUCCUAGAGUGUUCUGGGAGGUUGCUUGGAUGUUCUGAGUUGUAGCCAGGGUGUUGCUAAGCAGUUUCUAGGGUCAUUGGUUGCUAGGGUGUUGCUAUGUGGUUCCUGGGAGGUUGCUUGGAUGUUCUGAGUUGUAGCCAGGAUGUUUCUUAGCACUUUCUAAGGUGUUCUGGGUGAUUGUUUUAACAGAUUUAGGGCAUUUGUAGCACCUUUCUUCUCACUGGCAUGCCUCAAACUUUCUACACAGAGCUCGUGCUUUUGCUCUUCUAAAAAAAGUAACAUUUAAAAUGAGGAACAGACAUCAGAUGUGGGUCAGAUGGCAAUGAGGGAGUAGCUGUCAGUCAAGCACUCCUGCACUCAUAUCCACAGAGAACCAAAACUCCAGGAUGACUUCUUGACUUUUCAGGUGAUGUCAUACAUUUUCAUGAGCGUUAGUCACCGGUGAUCUGUGAGGGAAUCAUCUCCAUAAACUAGAAAAAUAUGGGCUGACAGGAAAGAUCCGAUCUGAUUGUGCUAAUGUGAGAGAUCUGAGUUUGCUCAUACACGUUUGCUCUCUGAAUGCUGUUUUUGUUGAGCGUCUCUGAGUAAUGUGAGCUGCUCAGAGAUUGACGGAGGGAUGGAGGUGCUUCCUUCCACAACAAAGCGCCGGUGCCUCCAUUUUAAAUCCGUUACACGCAGAGCUGUGAAUGAUAUCAAGAUCUGCCCACAGAGUUUCCAUCCGUCAUGGAUUAUGUCAUUAUUUAUUUUCCCUCAUGUCCAUCUGAACUUGUCUGCUGUUUUUGUCUGUGAAACAUUCAGCACAUUUGAAGCAUCUUCAUGCAUCUCUGUUGAGUCGUCUAACCUGUAGAUCAGGUCUGAACGAACACAUAUGUUCAAUUAACUCUGUUUGCUUGUUUCUCCUUGUGUAAAUUUAUCAUUUGCUUGAGUGACGGGCCACAUUUCAGUGAAUCCACAGCCGCUGUCCAGGCGAUAGAUGGUCAUGCAAGUUUGGAGCGACUAAUGCGAUGUGACGCGGCGUGUGGAGGUCGUAAAGCCGUUCAGCGUCUCGCCUCGAUACUCGCGGAUCUGUUCUGACCUAAAUACACAACCACACCCACCGGCUCCAGAAACAAGAGCCGCACAGACACACUGAACAGAGACUGAGUGGAACCAUGUUCCGCUUCGUUCCCGUGUUGACCGUGAUGUGGGUUUGUAAGUGUUUCAGUCUUUACGUCUGCGUGACGACUCAUUUCUCAUAGAUGACAUGUCAUUUUUCAUGCUGUAUUCUCAUCCAGCUGUUGUCCUCGUCUCCGUCUGAUAAGCCAUUUGGCGUUUCUCUUCUCCUGCUAUGAGGACAUUUGUUCAGUGUUUUGUCUUUACCCAGAGGGACCUGAACACAAACAUCAGACCUUCACACUUCAGCUCGCUUUACUCUGAAAACACACACCUCAGAGUUCACAUGCUCACACCAGUCGAGAGCAGAAACUCGCUAAAAGCAGUGAAGCGACUAACUUAAGCAGAGUUUUCGGUAGCGUGUCUGUGAUGGACGAUCUGAUUUAAAGCUCAACCAAAUAACAGCGAGUCCUUUCCUUCAGGACAGAGAAGAUUUUCAAGCUCAAUGUCCUCUGAAAACACACGCUUCUCUGAUUUCAGUGUUUCUGUUUCAGAUUUUCUUCACCCAACGUCCUGAUGGAGUCAGAAAUUAACAUUAAAAAUGCAUGUGACAUCACUCCCCUGGUCACCUUUGACCCUUAAUUCAUGCAUUAUGCUUUUUGUCGCCGUCCAUUUCUGUCUCGUGCCCGCCGGUGAAACACACGACUGUAUUAAAGCGUGAAAACAGGUCUUAUUUGUGCCGCCAACCGGCACAGGCGUAAUUUUGAUCGCCGCCCCAUUAUGCUGCUGACAGACUCUGUCCUCCAUGAUGGACGGCCCUGUGUGAGGAAGAGUCCGUCGAGCCGGUCGCUUACCGCUGUGUGUCGGCGCGGUCCUUCCUCCAUCAAUCCUCCAUCCAUCACAGCAGGUGUUUGGACGCUCAGUCCACAGUGAUGGAGAGGAACAAAGCAGGGAGAACUAUGAUGAUGGAUGGAGACUUUAAGAGCACCGUUACACUACAGCAGCUUCUGUGGUCAGUGUCCAUCUGAGAUGUGAUGAAACACCAGCGCUCUGUGAGCUGUCCGGAUAAGUGCGCUUCUGUUAUAAGA